This 462-nucleotide ribosomal RNA is filed under the name Pycnococcus provasolii. RNAcentral describes it as "partial Bacterial small subunit ribosomal RNA". It matches the Rfam family "Bacterial small subunit ribosomal RNA", at positions 1071 to 1532 of the family's 1533-position model. The record is from RNAcentral. Lineage: Eukaryota; Viridiplantae; Chlorophyta; Pseudoscourfieldiophyceae; Pseudoscourfieldiales; Pycnococcaceae.
GAUGUUGGGUUAAGUCCCGCAACGAGCGCAACCCUUGUCAUUAGUUGCUACAUUUAGUUGGGCACUCUAGUGAGACUGCCGGUGACAAACCGGAGGAAGGUGGGGAUGACGUCAAGUCCUCAUGGCCCUUAUAGGUGGGGCUACACACGUCAUACAAUGGCUGGUACAAAGGGUUGCCAACCCGCGAGGGGGAGCUAAUCCCAUAAAACCAGUCGUAGUCCGGAUCGCAGUCUGCAACUCGACUGCGUGAAGUCGGAAUCGCUAGUAAUCGUGGAUCAGCAUGCCACGGUGAAUACGUUCCCGGGCCUUGUACACACCGCCCGUCACGUCACGAAAGUCGGUAACACCCGAAGCCAGUGGCCCAACCCCUUGUGGGGGGGAGCUGUCGAAGGUGGGAUCGGCGAUUGGGACGAAGUCGUAACAAGGUAGCCGUACCGGAAGGUGCGGCUGGAUCACCUCCUU